RNAcentral lists this ribosomal RNA (557 nucleotides) under uncultured bacterium. Its description in RNAcentral is "bacterial SSU rRNA". It matches the Rfam family "Bacterial small subunit ribosomal RNA", at positions 102 to 694 of the family's 1533-position model. The record is from RNAcentral.
ACGGGUGCGUAACGCGUGGGAAUCUGCCCCUUGGUUCGGAAUAACAGUUGGAAACGACUGCUAAUACCGGAUGAUGACGAAAGUCCAAAGAUUUAUCGCCAAGGGAUGAGCCCGCGUAGGAUUAGCUAGUUGGUGAGGUAAAGGCUCACCAAGGCAACGAUCCUUAGCUGGUCUGAGAGGAUGAUCAGCCACACUGGGACUGAGACACGGCCCAGACUCCUACGGGAGGCAGCAGUAGGGAAUAUUGGACAAUGGGCGAAAGCCUGAUCCAGCAAUGCCGCGUGAGUGAUGAAGGCCUUAGGGUUGUAAAGCCCUUUUACCCGAGAUGAUAAUGACAGUAUCGGGAGAAUAAGCCCCGGCUAACUCCGUGCCAGCAGCCGCGGUAAUACGGAGGGGGCUAGCGUUGUUCGGAAUUACUGGGCGUAAAGCGCACGUAGGCGGUUAUUCAAGUCAGAGGUGAAAGCCCAGUGCUCAACACUGGAACUGCCUUUGAAACUAGAUAGCUUGAAUCCAGGAGAGGUGAGUGGAAUUCCGAGUGUAGAGGUGAAAUUCGUAGA